UCAAAAAGAAGAGGAAACCCAGAAUGCCUAUGCCAAUUUGGACAACAGAGGUGAAGCUAAUGUUUACGAAACCCUCAAUCUCAAUGCAAAUCCCUCUAAAGAAGGUGUUAACCAUGAAAGUAAGCAUGUAUCAUUGUGGAGAGCAGGUGCUAUAUGCUUUGGAUUACUGUGUGCUGUCCUGAUUGCUGCGUUCAUUGGUUUGUGUGUACAGUAUUCACACAUUCAAAAGAAAAAUUAUGAGCUACAGCAAACCUUCUCAGAUUACCAAGUAAACUUCACAGCAUACAUACAUGAUCAAAUGGGCAAAUACAACAGCAUCAUCACAUCACAAGAUGAGUUGCGAAAUAGCUACAAUACCUUGAUAAAAGAAAGGCAACAACUGGUGGCCAAUGAUGAGGCAAUGACUACACACAUACAGCAGUUGCAGUUGGACAAACAGGCACUGGCAUUUAAAGUCUCAG
Long non-coding RNA from Alosa sapidissima (American shad), 461 nucleotides. RefSeq lists it as uncharacterized. The transcript is spliced from 3 exons. The record is from RefSeq and is a predicted model, not a curated record. Lineage: Eukaryota; Metazoa; Chordata; Actinopteri; Clupeiformes; Clupeidae.